This is a non-coding RNA of Phoenix dactylifera (date palm), 2990 nucleotides long. NCBI's taxonomy places the organism in Eukaryota, Viridiplantae, Streptophyta, Magnoliopsida, Arecales, Arecaceae. The record is from RefSeq and is a predicted model, not a curated record.
AGAAAGGAAUAAAUUAAAAAACAGCCUAUGGAAAAUAUAGAGAGGGAUUGAGGAGGGGGGAUUCGAGCGCCUCUUGUUCGAUUUCUUGCCCUCCCCCGCCUCCGUCCUCUCGAUAUCACCUUCCAGCCCUCGGAUCUCCCACCAGAAUCUUAAAUCUGGAUCCCUAUAUUCGCCCAUAUAUGUUGUUUUGGAUCAAAAUCGGAUUUUUCUCGAUGGAAGAACGAUUCCGUGGGGUAACGCCUAAAAUCUUUUGCUCCGCUCUUCCCACUUUUCAGAUCCGAAAUUUGAAUCAGGUUUCAGUUUGAGCUUGAUUUUUAUCGGAGCUCGUGCGGAAUUAGCUUCAGAAAAGAUUUUGUAGAGAGAAAAAGCUUCCAUCAGAACAUUGGGUAUAACCUGGGAAAAAAUGGGUGUGAUGGGUAAUGGCAAAGAAUCAAGGAAAAUGGUGUUUGUGACAGUGGGAACCACAUGCUUUGAUGCUCUUGUCAAGGCAGUAGACUCUCAGCAGGUCAAAGAUGAGUUAUUGAGAAAGGGAUACACUGAUCUCCUCAUUCAAAUGGGCCGUGGGACAUAUGUACCCUCCAAGUUUUCUGGAGAAGAUGGAUCUCUAGCUGUGGAUUAUUUCACUUUCUCACCGAGCAUUGCCGACUACCUUAGAUCAGCAUCUCUUAUCAUCAGCCACGCAGGUAAUAUUUUGUUGUAAUCUAUAUCGUGGAAAAUUUUUCCUUGUACAGAUACAAGGCACACACUAUUGAAUUUAAUGAAUGUUCUUGGCAACUAAUCUAUUAGGAAUGUAUAUGGUCCGCACAAACCAUGACAAGACUUUAAGGGGAAGAUUUUCUAUUGAAAUGAUUCACUGCCUUUGAUUUUAUAAAGUAACAAGAUCACAAGGGUCCAGGCUAAAGAACAAGAGACUGGAAGUAUAUUCUAGAUACUUGUCGGAUUCUUCAUCAUUCUCUCCUUUUUGCUGUUAAAGGACUUGUGGAGACAAAAUAGUUGGAUAAAACGCAUAAGAAGUGAAUGAUGAAAAUGGUGAUGUGAGUCUAACAAAAGCUAUUUUUUGUUAGGGUGCAAUGUAGUAGGUCUUAUUCUAAUAUCAUAUUAUGGGAUGCUAUGACAGUCGUAUAUAAUAAACAGGCAGAACCUUAUAAAAUGCUAUAUAUAUAAUUUUGUUGAAUGUAGCAUGAUAUAUUAUAUACUGAUUUCUACAUGGCUCCAUAUUCUAUUUUUACCUCUUCCAUAUCAAAAACUCCGCACACAUGCUUCCUCAUAAGACAACUGUGUACCAUCCUUGAUCUCCUAAAUAAAAUAUUUAGCUGAUUACUUGCUUUGAUCUCUUUUCUAUCAAACUUCUUUCUCAAUGGUUCCACUCAUUACCUCCCAACUUCAUCAGAUAAGAAGAGGAGCACCUGUUUACCAAUAGUUACAGCAGACUAUGUAGUUUGGUGGAUGUUGUUGCCAAGGCUUCAAAUGAGAGAGAGGUUUAAAUUUAAGCAUGCUCUAUGGAAAUUAGAAAAUUUUGUAUGUACAAUUUUUUUUCCGUUAAUGAUCAAAUUCUUAGAGAUCAUCAAUAUUCUAGGUUUGGUCGUAAUCUCAUUUAACAGGUAUAAGAGCAGAUUCCAAUAUGUUGGAUUGAAAUAUUGCAGGCAAAAAAUAGGAAAAAAGAUGGUUGAUAGUGUGGUAUACAGCUGUGUUUCAGUCAUACUCAUUUAUUGACUUCUGUAGUUUAAGCGAUAACUGCAUAUUCAGAAGUUAUGUUUUCGCUGGUGAUCCAUGGUUCAUUCAAGAACAGAGCAGGGCCGGCCUGACCGUUAGGCGACCUAGGCGGUCGCCUAAGGCCUUGGCCCAAAAAAAGGCCUCAGCCCAUCGCUGAGAAUGGUUGUCAACUGUAGCCUGCCCUAAUCCCAUUGCCAUUGAUGCCAUGGCUGUAAAGCUGGUAAGGUAAGGCGUAAACCUAUGAACCUAUCACCUAUGGCAUUCGGCCAUGGGCUAUUCCUCUUGUCCUUGACGUCUCCUUGCCUCUUUGUCCUAAUUCCAACUUCCUAGUUCCCAAAUCCCAGCAUGGCUAUUCCUCUUUCCUCCUCAGACCUCAUUUCCUUCUAGCUUCUUCAUUCUUCAAGCUUCCUAGCUCUUUGAUUCCUUCAUUCUGGGGGUGUGCCGGCGUGGGAGGGUGGAUGGGGGCCAGUUCUUGUCGGUGAGCUUGUCGGUUAAGGGAGGAGAGGGGCUCGUGCGGGAGUUGGAGGGGUUUUUGGGGCAGAAUGGGGUGGGGAGUUCGGAGGAGCCGGCAUUGGAGGGGAACGAGGUGGAUGAGGUGAUGGUAAAGCGGUAAAGGAGGUGGAGAAAAAGGAGGUCAGAACGCAAGGGCCGGAGCUGGCGCCAUGAACACCACCAGUCCACCAAGCAUCUGUGGGUGGGGGCUGUGGCCGCAAUGGUUUCAAGGGUCCGGGAGCAUCUUUGAGACACUGCGAUUGGGUAAGCCUCUAAUUGUGGUCGUCAAUGAGGAUUUGAUGGACAACCACCAAAGUGAGCUUGCAGAGGAACUGGCAGAUAGGAAGCACCUAUUCUGUGCCCGCCCGCAGACACUCCAUCAGACCAUCAAAGUCAUGGAUCUGGAGUCCCUUAUUCCUUACCCACCAGGAGAUGCUGCGCCAGUUGCUAAUCUAUUCAACAAUUUUCUUGGAUUCCCAGCUGAUUGAUCUGUCUAUCAAAUUGAUCCUUGAAGAAUGUUCAUGGGAUCGUUGGUCUUGUUGGCAGCCAAAUUUUGAACCCUGUUCAUACUACGAAAACCCUGUUGGAAAUGGCUCCAGUAUGAUCAUAUUAGCAUUCUCUCUGCUUGAAUACUCUUUUCAGAUUCUGAAGAUUAAUAAUGUAAUCACCAAUUGUGAUUCAAAAUAUACUACUGUUUUGUAAAUCCCUUAUUUAUGGUGGGAGAAGAUUGAAUGCCGUUCAUUGUUUUUAUGCAAUUAAAUUCAAUCCAUCCAUUUCUUAUCAAA